RNAcentral lists this ribosomal RNA (254 nucleotides) under uncultured bacterium. Its description in RNAcentral is "partial 16S ribosomal RNA". It matches the Rfam family "Bacterial small subunit ribosomal RNA", at positions 524 to 776 of the family's 1533-position model. The record is from RNAcentral.
UACGAAGGGGGCUAGCGUUGCUCGGAAUCACUGGGCGUAAAGGGUGCGUAAGCGGGUCUUUAAGUCAGGGGUGAAAUCCUGGAGCUCAACUCCAGAACUGCCUUUGAUACUGAGGAUCUUGAGUUCGGGAGAGGUGAGUGGAACUGCGAGUGUAGAGGUGAAAUUCGUAGAUAUUCGCAAAGAACACCAGUGGCGAAGGCGGCUCACUGGCCCGAUACUGACGCUGAGGCACGAAAGCGUGGGGAGCAAACAGG